RNAcentral lists this long non-coding RNA (326 nucleotides) under Panax ginseng (ginseng). RNAcentral's name for it is "long non-coding RNA (PGIN_LNC007834)". The record is from RNAcentral. Lineage: Eukaryota; Viridiplantae; Streptophyta; Magnoliopsida; Apiales; Araliaceae.
AAGUGUUCCUUGAAAACUAAAAAAUUUAUAGCAAACAUGUACUCCAUCAUUUUGCUUGAUUAAGUAAUAGUAACACUAAUAUCCAAAUAACAAGCAUGACUGAAAUAUUUCUUGACAAGUUCAGCAGCUAUCAAACAACCGUAUAUCAUUUUGCUUAAUUGAGUAAUAAUAACACGAAUUUCACAUCACUUGAUUAUUAUUCCACAAACCAACAGAAACACUAGGCAUAUCUCUCCUAAUUCCUCAAUCAUCCAAUAGCAUGUUGAACCAGAUUUUACACCAAGAAAUAAAUAAUUCCAAGCAAAAGUGAACAAGAUUAAUAACCU